RNAcentral lists this ribosomal RNA (253 nucleotides) under uncultured bacterium. RNAcentral describes it as "partial 16S ribosomal RNA". It matches the Rfam family "Bacterial small subunit ribosomal RNA", at positions 524 to 776 of the family's 1533-position model. The record is from RNAcentral.
UACGUAGGGACCGAGCGUUGUCCGGAAUCAUUGGGCGUAAAGAGCGUGUAGGCGGCCAGGUAGGUCUGCUGUGAAAACUCGAGGCUUAACCUCGAGCUGUCGGCGGAAACCAUCUGGCUAGAGUCCGGAAGAGGAGAAUGGAAUUCCCGGUGUAGCGGUGAAAUGCGCAGAUAUCGGGAAGAACACCCGUGGCGAAGGCGGUUCUCUGGGACGGUACUGACGCUGAGACGCGAAAGCGUGGGGAGCGAACAGG